Molecule: transfer RNA, 73 nt
Filed under: bacterium
Lineage: Bacteria
Description: tRNA-Thr
Rfam family: tRNA
About the family: Transfer RNA (tRNA) molecules are approximately 80 nucleotides in length. Their secondary structure includes four short double-helical elements and three loops (D, anti-codon, and T loops).
Source: RNAcentral
GCCCGCGUAGCUCAGUUGGUAGAGCACCGCAUUCGUAAUGCGGAUGUCGUUGGUUCGAUCCCGACCGCGGGCU